This 214-nucleotide long non-coding RNA is filed under the name Carica papaya (papaya). RNAcentral describes it as "long non-coding RNA (CPAP_LNC014959)". The record is from RNAcentral. Lineage: Eukaryota; Viridiplantae; Streptophyta; Magnoliopsida; Brassicales; Caricaceae.
GGUCUGGCCACUAGGGUUAGGGUUUGGUGUGAAGUGGGUUAUUUAUUUCCGUCUCCUUUUAAUCUGAGCCGUCCAUUGCGUUUGAUCUGAACCGUCCGAUCGCGUUUAAAUAUGAAAUGAAUCUGGACCGUUCAUCGCGAUUUGAUCUGGACUGUUCGAUCGCAUUUAAAUAGGAAGUGAAUCUGGACCGUUUAUCACAAUUUUAUUUAGACCU